GGGGAGAUUGAUGGAGGAGGAACUUCGAGGAAGAGCCAACGAAAGGAUCAUGAAGAAGGAUCCUGAAGAGAGAGAAUCCCUGCUCUGAGACUCCUAAAUCCAGUCAAAAUACCUCUGUGGGAGGAAAAAGAAAAAGAAUGAGCAGAGAAAUACCUGUUCUUUAAAAAUCAGCUUUAAGCUGGAAGUCUGCACAACUGCUUGACUAUGCACGUGUUCUGCCAUGCCCUCCAGCUUUUCCUCUUUGAAGCCCUGGCAUCCUGCUUCACUCGAGUGUUUCCUGUGAGACAACUGAGUCUGCCUGCGUGGUCCUGACGUGUUUCUAUUUGGCCUGAGAAGCUGAUCUUCGCAAUUAUUGUCACCAAUUCAAGCCCAUCCAAGUAUCUGGCUUUGAGAAUGUUUGAAAUACUGCUGCCACUGUUUCAGAGACCCAGAUGUACUAGCUUGACACAUUUAUGCGAUUAAAAGGGCUGUGAGAAA
Hirundo rustica (Barn swallow) is the source of this 477-nucleotide long non-coding RNA. RefSeq lists it as uncharacterized. The transcript is spliced from 3 exons. Lineage: Eukaryota; Metazoa; Chordata; Aves; Passeriformes; Hirundinidae. The record is from RefSeq and is a predicted model, not a curated record.